This is a non-coding RNA of Ceratotherium simum simum (southern white rhinoceros), 109 nucleotides long. The record is from RefSeq and is a predicted model, not a curated record. NCBI's taxonomy places the organism in Eukaryota, Metazoa, Chordata, Mammalia, Perissodactyla, Rhinocerotidae.
UUUUAUUGUUGAGUACUAUUCCAUUAUAUGGAUAUACCACAACUUAUUUAGCUAUUCACCAGUUGAUGAGAAUUUGGGUUGGUUCCAGUUUUUGCUAUUGUGGAUAGUG